Molecule: ribosomal RNA, 701 nt
Filed under: uncultured bacterium
Lineage: Bacteria
Description: bacterial SSU rRNA
Rfam family: Bacterial small subunit ribosomal RNA
Source: RNAcentral
CAUGCAGUCGAGCGGCACGCACAUUGACCCUUCGGGGGAUUGUUGGGCGGCGAGCGGCGGACGGGUGAGUAAUGCCUGGGAACAUGCCUUAGUGUGGGGGAUAACCAUUGGAAACGAUGGCUAAUACCGCAUAAUCUCUACGGAGCAAAGAGGGGGACCUUCGGGCCUCUCGCGCUAAGAUUGGCCCAGGUGGGAUUAGCUAGUAGGUGGGGUAACGGCUCACCUAGGCGACGAUCCCUAGCUGGUCUGAGAGGAUGAUCAGCCACACUGGAACUGAGACACGGUCCAGACUCCUACGGGAGGCAGCAGUGGGGAAUAUUGCACAAUGGGGGAAACCCUGAUGCAGCCAUGCCGCGUGUGUGAAGAAGGCCUUCGGGUUGUAAAGCACUUUCAGCAGUGAGGAAGGCGGUAUCGUUAAUAGCGGUAUUGUUUGACGUUAGCUGCAGAAGAAGCACCGGCUAACUCCGUGCCAGCAGCCGCGGUAAUACGGAGGGUGCGAGCGUUAAUCGGAAUUACUGGGCGUAAAGCGCAUGCAUGCGGCUUGUUAAGCCAGAUGUGAAAGCCCGGGGCUCAACCUCGGAAUCGCAUUUGGAACUGGGCAUGCUAGAGUCUUGUAGAGGGGGGUAGAAUUUCAGGUGUAGCGUGAAAUGCGUAGAGAUCUGAAGGAAUACCGGUGGCGAUGCGCCCCUGACAAAGACUGA